Molecule: transfer RNA, 69 nt
Filed under: Marmota marmota marmota (Alpine marmot)
Lineage: Eukaryota; Metazoa; Chordata; Mammalia; Rodentia; Sciuridae
Also listed under: 2 other names
Rfam family: tRNA
About the family: Transfer RNA (tRNA) molecules are approximately 80 nucleotides in length. Their secondary structure includes four short double-helical elements and three loops (D, anti-codon, and T loops).
Source: Rfam by way of RNAcentral
GGGAUUGUGGCUCAGUGGUAGAGCACUUGCCUAGCACACAUGAGGCUCUGGGUUCAAUCCUCAGCACCA